AAGGAAAUGCGAUCCAAAAGAGAAACUGAAACUUAACGGCCAUUUUAAAAACGGAAGAGAAAGAAUCCCUAGAAAAGAAGGAAUCAAAAUAAAUGUAAAAAAACGGAGUGAACAGCCUGUUGUGGAGUGGAACUGAGGUCUGCCAAUUUGGGUCAGUACCCACUGGUGAAUCUGGUGUGUUCAGGUGUCCUGCGACAGGGGGCGCUGUUUCAAAAAUGAGUUCCUCAGAGGAGACCGAGACUGACGAUGGAACCCACGGCCCUGCGAGAGAGAGGCUCCAGGUAGAUCGGGCUGGGUCACCUGUACCCAGCUGUCUGUCUAUGAAGAGUGACCGUUCAAUGGAUUUUCCAAUCAAAUUCAGAGGAGAGUUCAGAAGUGAUCAAAGG
Molecule: long non-coding RNA, 386 nt
Organism: Anguilla rostrata (American eel)
Lineage: Eukaryota; Metazoa; Chordata; Actinopteri; Anguilliformes; Anguillidae
Exons: 3
Source: RefSeq, a predicted model, not a curated record